RNAcentral lists this ribosomal RNA (738 nucleotides) under Gyalectaria diluta. Its description in RNAcentral is "SSU rRNA". It matches the Rfam family "Eukaryotic small subunit ribosomal RNA", at positions 118 to 865 of the family's 1831-position model. Lineage: Eukaryota; Fungi; Ascomycota; Lecanoromycetes; Pertusariales; Coccotremataceae. The record is from RNAcentral.
UAUUUGAUAGUACCUACUUACUUGGAUAACCGUGGUAAUUCUAGAGCUAAUACAUGCUAAAAACCCCAACUUCCGAAGGGGUGUAUUUNUUAGAUAAAAAACCAAUGCCCUCCGGGGCUCCUUGGUGAUUCAUAAUAACUUAACGAAUCGCAUGGCCUUGCGCCGGUGAUGGUUCAUUCAAAUUUCUGCCCUAUCAACUUUCGAUUGUAAGAUAGUGGCUUACAAUGGUGGCAACGGGUAACGGGGAAUUAGGGUUCUAUUCCGGAGAGGGAGCCUGAGAAACGGCUACCACAUCCAAGGAAGGCAGCAGGCGCGCAAAUUACCCAAUCCCGACACGGGGAGGUAGUGACAAUAAAUACUGAUGCGGAGCUCUUUAGGGUUUCGCAAUUGGAAUGAGUACAAUUUAAAUCCCUUAACGAGGAACAAUUGGAGGGCAAGUCUGGUGCCAGCAGCCGCGGUAAUUCCAGCUCCAAUAGCGUAUAUUAAAGUUGUUGCAGUUAAAAAGCUCGUAGUUGAACCUUGGGUUUGGCUGACCGGUCCGCCUCACCGCGUGCACUGGCUCGGCCGAGCCUUUCCUUCUGGGGAGCCGCAUGCCCUUCACUGGGUGUGCCGGGGAACCAGGACUUUUACUUUGAAAAAAUUAGAGUGUUCAAAGCAGGCCUAUGCUCGAAUACAUUAGCAUGGAAUAAUAGAAUAGGACGUGUGGUUCUAUUUUGUUGGUUUCUAGGACCGCCGUAU